UCUCCCCUCUUUUUGGUAGACGGCCAACACCGAGGCCUUCUUUCUCUUCUCCGACUGAUGGCGAGGGUAUCCCGGCUCUUCCUACUACAAAAGGGGAUCCCACCUAUGUCUAAUGUAAUUAAGGCCAGAUUUAAAGAACCACAACCCUAUCAUCAUCCUGGCAUUCCACAAUUCGAGGUUGCUUAUGUGCACCAUCCAGAACCCACUACUUAUUGUAGGAAACGAUGGUU
This 230-nucleotide long non-coding RNA is filed under the name Elaeis guineensis (African oil palm). Its description in RNAcentral is "long non-coding RNA (EGUI_LNC077344)". The record is from RNAcentral. Lineage: Eukaryota; Viridiplantae; Streptophyta; Magnoliopsida; Arecales; Arecaceae.